UCGAACGCUUGUCGGGCUUCGGUCCGGCAAGAGUGGCGCACGGGUGAGUUGCGCGUGGGAACCUGCCCUGUUGUGGGGGAUAACCGAGGGAAACUUCGGCUAAUACCGCAUAAGCCGGUUGUCUUGAACGAGAUGGCCGGGAAAGAUUUAUCGCGACAGGAGGGGCCCGCGUCGGAUUAGGUAGUUGGUGGGGUAACGGCCCACCAAGCCUUUGAUCCGUAGCUGGUCUGAGAGGAUGAUCAGCCACACUGGGACUGAGACACGGCCCAGACUCCUACGGGAGGCAGCAGUGGGGAAUAUUGGACAAUGGGCGCAAGCCUGAUCCAGCAAUGCCGCGUGAGUGAUGAAGGCCUUAGGGUUGUAAAGCUCUUUCGCCCGCGACGAUGAUGACGGUAGCGGGAGAAGAAGCCCCGGCUAACUUCGUGCCAGCAGCCGCGGUAAUACGAAGGGGGCGAGCGUUGUUCGGAAUCACUGGGCGUAAAGGGCGCGUAGGCGGCCCCUCUAGUCGCGUGUGAAAGCCCCGGGCUCAACCUGGGAACGGCGCGCGAAACGGGAGGGCUGGAGUUCGGGAGAGGAGAGUGGAAUUCCCAGUGUAGAGGUGAAAUUCGUAGAUAUUGGGAAGAACACCGGUGGCGAAGGCGGCUCUCUGGACCGAGACUGACGCUGAGGCGCGAAAGCGUUGGGAGCAAACAGGAUUAGAUACCCUGGUAGUCCACGCCGUAAACGAUGUGUGCUAGACGUUGGGGAGCCUAGCUCUUCGGUGUCGCCGCA
RNAcentral lists this ribosomal RNA (771 nucleotides) under uncultured bacterium. Its description in RNAcentral is "bacterial SSU rRNA". It matches the Rfam family "Bacterial small subunit ribosomal RNA", at positions 62 to 853 of the family's 1533-position model. The record is from RNAcentral.